RNAcentral lists this unclassified non-coding RNA (26 nucleotides) under Mus musculus (house mouse). Its description in RNAcentral is "piRNA piR-mmu-68203388". Lineage: Eukaryota; Metazoa; Chordata; Mammalia; Rodentia; Muridae. The record is from RNAcentral.
UCACCAAAGGAUGCAGUACUAGAACU